GAGCUAGAGUGUACACUCACCUGCCGAAGCAACUAGCCCUGAAAAUGGAUGGCGCUAAAGCUUCUCACUUAUACCUCACCGUUCAGAUAGAGCCGGGCUUUAAGCCCCUGACAUCUGAACGAGUAGGAAGGUCGCAGGGAUGGCGCGGAAGGCUCUGGGUGUGAACCUGGCUGGAGCCGUCCCUGGUGCAGAUCUUGGUGGUAGUAGCAAAUACUCCAGAGAGGCCCUGGAGGACCGAUGUGGAGAAGGGUUUCGUGUGAACAGCUGUUGGACACGAGUCAGUCGAUCCUAAGGCUUAGUGGAAGCACGAAAUGACCGUGUGGUGUUUUCUAGAGUGAAAACCACAGUCGUAGCCGAAAGGGAAUGAGGUCCUUAUUCCUCAACCUGGUAGCGGAACCGUUCAGGCCCUCGUACCUGACGUGGCAACACGAAAUGAGUCUGAGACGUCCGCCGGAGCUCUGGGAAGAGUUGUCUUUUCUGCAUAAGCCACCGAGGCCCUGGAAUCCUCUCGCAGGGAGAAUGGGUUUUGGUCUAGGCGAAGAGCGCAGCAGUUCUCGCUGUGUCCACGAGUGCCCGGCGGAACCUUGAAAAUCAGACUGAGGGACACGGCGGCGUCGCACCAGCUCGUACCCAUAUCCGCAGCAGGUCUCCUAGGUGAAAAGCCUCUGGUCGAUAGAAUAAUGUAGGUAAGGGAAGUCGGCAAAUUGGAUCCGUAACUUCGGGAUAAGGAUUGGCUCUGAGGGGCGGGGUGCUUGGGCUCUGUGGUGGAAGCAGGUUGUCUAACGGCGGGUCUGGGCGUGCUCUCGGGCUAACCCGGCCUCGUUUCACAGGCUCCUGUGGAUACCCAUUGCUUCGCGGGUCCGGGAAACCGGUGUCCUGUUCAAGCAUCGAUCAACGCCUUGCUCAGAACUGGCACGGACUAGGGGAAUCCGACUGUCUAAUAAAACAAAGCAUGCGAUUCAAGA
Molecule: ribosomal RNA, 965 nt
Filed under: Metridia gerlachei
Lineage: Eukaryota; Metazoa; Arthropoda; Copepoda; Calanoida; Metridinidae
Description: eukaryotic LSU rRNA
Rfam family: Eukaryotic large subunit ribosomal RNA
Source: RNAcentral